GUAGUCCACGCCCUAAACGAUGUCGACUGGGUGUCGGGAGAGAGAUCUCUUGGUACCGUAGCUAACGCGUGAAGUCGACCGCCUGGGGAGUACGGCCGCAAGGUUAAAACUCAAAGGAAUUGACGGGGACCCGCACAAGCGGUGGAUGAUGUGGAUUAAUUCGAUGCAACGCGAACAACCUUACCUACCCUUGACAUGUCCGGAACCCUGCCGAGAGGCGGGGGUGCCCGAAAGGGAAUCGGAACACAGGUGCUGCAUGGCUGUCGUCAGCUCGUGUCGUGAGAUGUUGGGUUAAGUCCCGCAACGAGCGCAACCCUUGUCCCUAGUUGCUACGCAAGGGCACUCUAGGGAGACUGCCGGUGACAAACCGGA
This 372-nucleotide ribosomal RNA is filed under the name uncultured bacterium. RNAcentral describes it as "bacterial SSU rRNA". It matches the Rfam family "Bacterial small subunit ribosomal RNA", at positions 790 to 1167 of the family's 1533-position model. The record is from RNAcentral.